GCCAGGGUGGCUCAGUCGGUUGAGCGUCUGACUUCGGCUCAGGUCCUGAUCCUACAGUUUGUGGGUUCGAGCCCCACGUCGGGCU
This 85-nucleotide transfer RNA is filed under the name Felis catus (domestic cat). It matches the Rfam family "tRNA". Rfam says of the family: Transfer RNA (tRNA) molecules are approximately 80 nucleotides in length. Their secondary structure includes four short double-helical elements and three loops (D, anti-codon, and T loops). Lineage: Eukaryota; Metazoa; Chordata; Mammalia; Carnivora; Felidae. The record is from Rfam by way of RNAcentral.